UAUUCUCAGUUUCUGUUUGGAAGUUUUAUGUGGUGUAUCAACAAGCACAGGUGAUCUACUAUAGAUGAUUUUAAAAGUUUCCCUGUGUCAGUUAUGAUGAUUCCUUUUAUGUAAUCCAUGUUUAUAUUCUAGGAAAUCACAUUAUCCCUGAUGAAGAAUCUGGCUUCUUUCAUUGGCAUUUACUUGGUCCAGAACAUCCUCUAGCCUCAAUUAAGGAGAAAAGUUUCCUAUUUGCUAUUUCCCUCCUGUAUGAUUUCAUGAAUGAACCGAUCUGUAGUCUUCUCCUGAGCUCCCUGUGAUACCUGAUUGCAGUGCAGACUGGGAAAGUGCCGUCUGUAAUCAGCUGGACUUCAAAGUACUACACCUGUCCUCAUUAGAUUUGUUAAGCAUUAUGGUUUUAAAAAUUGAGACACAAAGGAAGGUGUGUUUGUUAGAGGCUUUAUAACAUAUAUGAUUCAACAUCCUCUGUAUGUUUGUCAACACUGAAUUUUUAUUUUUAUUUACCUAUUUUGUGAAUAAGUAGCAUUCUUAGACUCAUUUUUUAAGCAUGUGUCUUUACCCACCUCACUACAUGCCUUACAUCCAUUCACUGUGAGUUUUUACUCUCUCCAGUGUCAUCCAGUCAAGGGUAUCAGUUCGAAACCAGGAAAUCUUCCCUCACUGUCCACAGGUCAGGUAAUGCUAAAUGAACGGCAUGUCUACUUUGGGGCUCUGUGGGCUCAGAAGCACAAGAAGAUCCUGGAAUGAUCAGGGAGAACAGAUGAGGUGAUUAAAUCAUAGGAUAUGGUCUGCAUGAUCAGCAGCUCAUGCUUAUUACUAGGUUUUGAAUGUGGUGCUGGACAUACUUAGAACCUAAAAGUGCCUGAAGGCAAUAGGCAAUGGGAAGUAAGGUGGUUAGUCAAGUUUUAAGCUUUUUCAUAUUUCAGUGUCACCAUUAAGAGCUGUGAGUAAGGUGGGCAUCAAAAUUUCUUAGGUUUAGAAGUAAAGAACAUUUCAUUUGUGUUCAGAACAGUGAGAGGCCGUUCCAUGUAAUGGGUACAAUUCUAGGACAUGGCGAGGGGAUGUAGCUUCAAAGGUGCGAGCAACUCUGUAAUCAAAGAAAGAAAAUAGAGUUAUGUGUUUCCCCUGUCCUCCAAGGGCCUGGCUGUUGAGGUCCCACACUGCAGUCCUGGAGGUCCCAGAGGCUGGGCUGGAGCGCGGGGCCUGCAGGACAGGGAGCCUGGCAGCAGCGGGAGGCUGAGCGGCUGGGCCAGGGUGGCGAGAGCCCAGACCUGAAGCUGCAUGUUCCUCACAUUGCUUCAGUGUUGCUGAGUGUUCUGGAAGAGAAGAGGAUGGCUACAAGCAGCCUGAGACUCAAAAAGCUGAGCUGGGAGAGCACAGGCCUUGGAGUCCACAGGCCUGACAUCAACUUACAGCCCGUUCAUUUCCUCCAAUCCCCAGAGCUGGUCUGUCCACUGUGCCGGGUUAUGAGGACAAGGAAGCUGGUUGAGUACUCAGCAGAGGGGGCGUGAGACUGUGGUGGACAGUCCUGCUGCACAUGCUGAAUGAGAGCUUUUCCUUAGUGUGCAUUUUGGGUUUUUUAUUGUUCUAUGACUUUGAGUCCUAAUCAGUUAAGGGAAUGGGUUGGCAGUUUGUUUUAUUUUUUAAAAAUGUUUGAUAAGUGUUUUCUGGCUUUAUUUUUUAAAUAAUAUAAAUUCUUGUUGGUUCUGGUUUUCUUGCA
Galeopterus variegatus (Sunda flying lemur) is the source of this 1720-nucleotide long non-coding RNA. RefSeq lists it as uncharacterized. The transcript has 3 exons. The record is from RefSeq and is a predicted model, not a curated record. NCBI's taxonomy places the organism in Eukaryota, Metazoa, Chordata, Mammalia, Dermoptera, Cynocephalidae.